UCUAAAGACCACCUAAAAUCUAAAGUUCAUCCAAAAGCUGAUUGUCAGAGUCUGAAGACCACCUAGAAUCUAAAGUUCAUCAGAAGCUAAAGUGAAGACCCUGAAGUUGGUUAUGAUGAUUAUUUGAAGACACCAAGAUCCAUAAGGGAUUAGAAGACUGGAGCAACGAUGAUUAUGAAGAGUUAUAAGGCUUUGGAUGCUUAUUCUCAGAGAAAGGACAAUGAAGCACAGAUAGUUCAAUUGUACAACCACUACCUCCACUAGUCCAACAUUACAUGCGUAUAGUACAAGCUACAGUUGUGUCUCUACUAGAUUU
This 316-nucleotide long non-coding RNA is filed under the name Medicago truncatula (barrel medic). RNAcentral's name for it is "lncRNA gene47352". Lineage: Eukaryota; Viridiplantae; Streptophyta; Magnoliopsida; Fabales; Fabaceae. The record is from RNAcentral.